GGAGGGUGCAAGCGUUGUCCGGAAUCAUUGGGCGUAAAGAGUUCGUAGGUGGUUUGUUAAGUUUGGUGUUAAAUGCAGAGGCUCAACUUCUGUUCGGCAUCGGAUACUGGCAGACUAGAAUGCGGUAGAGGUAAAGGGAAUUCCUGGUGUAGCGGUGAAAUGCGUAGAUAUCAGGAGGAACAUCGGUGGUGUAAGCGCUUUACUGGGCCGUAAUUGACACUGAGGAACGAAAGCCAGGGUAGCAAAUGGGAUUAGAUACCCCAGUAGUCCUGGCCGUAAACGAUGGAUACUAGGUGUUGCGGGUAUCGACCCCUGCAGUGCCGUAGCUAACGCGUUAAGUAUCCCGCCUGGGGAGUACGCACGCAAGUGUGAAACUCAAAGGAAUUGACGG
Molecule: ribosomal RNA, 391 nt
Filed under: uncultured bacterium
Lineage: Bacteria
Description: bacterial SSU rRNA
Rfam family: Bacterial small subunit ribosomal RNA
Source: RNAcentral